UGGGGAAUAUUGCACAAUGGGCGCAAGCCUGAUGCAGCCAUGCCGCGUGUAUGAAGAAGGCCUUCGGGUUGUAAAGUACUUUCAGCGGGGAGGAAGGCGAUAAGGUUAAUAACCUUGUCGAUUGACGUUACCCGCAGAAGAAGCACCGGCUAACUCCGUGCCAGCAGCCGCGGUAAUACGGAGGGUGCAAGCGUUAAUCGGAAUUACUGGGCGUAAAGCGCACGCAGGCGGUCUGUCAAGUCGGAUGUGAAAUCCCCGGGCUCAACCUGGGAACUGCAUUCGAAACUGGCAGGAUAGAGUCUUGUAGAGGGGGGUAGAAUUCCAGGUGUAGCGGUGAAAUGCGUAGAGAUCUGGAGGAAUACCGGUGGCGAAGGCGGACCCCUGGACAAAGACUGACGCUCAGGUGCGAAAGCGUGGGGAGCAAACA
Molecule: ribosomal RNA, 427 nt
Filed under: uncultured bacterium
Lineage: Bacteria
Description: partial 16S ribosomal RNA
Rfam family: Bacterial small subunit ribosomal RNA
Source: RNAcentral